This 118-nucleotide small RNA is filed under the name unclassified sequences. Its description in RNAcentral is "LOOT RNA". It matches the Rfam family "LOOT RNA". From Rfam's summary of the family: Latescibacteria, OD1/Parcubacteria, OP11, TM7. Lineage (Microgenomates, aka OP11) The record is from Rfam by way of RNAcentral.
CGCCUAAACUCUAAUUUUUAAUAGGGCAUGGCGGAACAGAAUCCCAGUAUGGAAACGGAAGCUCUCCGUUCAGUCAUCCAUACUGGGUCAUUAUUCGAAAGGAUAGUGGGCGAAAGCC